Long non-coding RNA from Lynx canadensis (Canada lynx), 458 nucleotides. RefSeq lists it as uncharacterized. The transcript has 3 exons. Lineage: Eukaryota; Metazoa; Chordata; Mammalia; Carnivora; Felidae. The record is from RefSeq and is a predicted model, not a curated record.
ACGUGUUCUCUUCCAAUCACCAUCCUUCCCCUUCAACCGUAGAUGUUGCCCUAGGUCCGUUGGCCUCUUGCAGUGACAGACAACUCCAGCUAAAAGUGUUUGGUGUUCUUAGCUUCAUCCUUUCUCCCACUUUGCUCAUCCUCAUCCUCAGACAGAUGCCUCUUGCUUUUAUAAGUCGGAUGUAACUCUAUGAUUUAGGGUUCUCAGUCUCUGUAAAGGUAGAGACCAGAGAGAAGGAACUGAGCCAGUUGCUCUCCUGUUGAGCGAUUUGGAUGAGUCCGCCAGAGGCCUGAUUGUAUGGCCCGUAACUUUGAGUGUUCCCCAGCCCUUGAGGAAGUGUAUGUGGAUGUGUGCGCGUGCAUAUUUAUAUAUGUAGCCUGCACUCGUGAAUGCAUGAACUGGAGGAAGUUACUACAGUGGAGGGGUUCUUAAUAACAAGGUCCGCCUCGCAUGAAGUA